This 253-nucleotide ribosomal RNA is filed under the name uncultured bacterium. RNAcentral's name for it is "partial 16S ribosomal RNA". It matches the Rfam family "Bacterial small subunit ribosomal RNA", at positions 524 to 776 of the family's 1533-position model. The record is from RNAcentral.
UACGUAGGUGGCAAGCGUUGUCCGGAAUUAUUGGGCGUAAAGCGCGCGCAGGUGGUUUCUUAAGUCUGAUGUGAAAGCCCACGGCUCAACCGUGGAGGGUCAUUGGAAACUGGGGAACUUGAGUGCAGAAGAGGAAAGUGGAAUUCCAAGUGUAGCGGUGAAAUGCGUAGAGAUUUGGAGGAACACCAGUGGCGAAGGCGACUUUCUGGUCUGUAACUGACACUGAGGCGCGAAAGCGUGGGUAGCGAACAGG